CAUGUCUGGCAACACUACGUUGAAGUCGAGUCCAAACGAUGACCCGAGUCUGAUCGCUCUCCUCCAUUAAGCUGACGAGCCGUGUGGAGGACCAGGCGUCCGUUACGAUGUCGGGGAGGUGAUGUUUUCCUUUGAGUGUCUGGUCAGACACACUGGCGGCUGCUCGACCACUAAAUGGCACAAUCACAAAACCCUAUGACUCGUGGAAAACAACAGAUCAAUAGCUCUUCCACCGGUUCUCGCCCGCGAGAGAGAAAGACAGCGGCGAUGGAGGCAGAUUCGAGCUUGUUUGGCCAGCUGAAAGAAUGGAAAAGUUGAGAGAAAGAUGACAAGAUGAGUGGACGUCAGUCAAUGGUGUGUGUCUGUGCGGGCGCAGAAGGACAGGCUGACUCAUAGCAAGACUGUGAGGAGAUGGAAAUGAGUAAAAGCGAGAAAAGAAUACAGUCUAACAACCUGACGGCAGCGGAAGCAAACAGCAGAAAGACGGGCGACUCCCGCGCAUCUGACACGCGUUUGUUCCGUCGCCGUAGCUCCCAGCGACAGAGGCCAAUUACAUCGGCAGCCGGGUGACCUUUACCAUGCAGAUGAGCCUGGCUACUUAACACAGGAGCGGCUGUUAUCAUUAACAGGAUUCGCUAACGACAAAUACAACAAUAAAGAUCAUUUAAAGUGCUUGAAGACUGGAUUGUGCUUCCCAACAACGAGAUAAAUUUACCGUCAUUGUAAAGGUCAGCAUGCCAGAGAUGGAAAGGAACAGCAGCUUCUGUUGCCGUGGGGAUGGUCCAGACAUGUUAUCAGAGCCCCUAAGAAUCCAUUUGUCUGGGUCGACUCUAGACGCAGUAAUAUAAACAAGGUGAGGGAUUUUCCAUUCAGUCUUAAAAUUUGACAUCAUCGGUCUGGUCAGGUCACAGUACCUUGUUU
Triplophysa dalaica is the source of this 921-nucleotide long non-coding RNA. RefSeq lists it as uncharacterized. The transcript has 8 exons. The record is from RefSeq and is a predicted model, not a curated record. Lineage: Eukaryota; Metazoa; Chordata; Actinopteri; Cypriniformes; Nemacheilidae.